This 440-nucleotide ribosomal RNA is filed under the name uncultured bacterium. Its description in RNAcentral is "partial 16S ribosomal RNA". It matches the Rfam family "Bacterial small subunit ribosomal RNA", at positions 338 to 795 of the family's 1533-position model. The record is from RNAcentral.
CCUACGGGAGGCUGCAGUGGGGAAUAUUGCACAAUGGGGGAAACCCUGAUGCAGCGAUGCCGCGUGAGCGAUGAAGUAUUUCGGUAUGUAAAGCUCUAUCAGCAGGGAAGAAGAUGACGGUACCUGACUAAGACGCCCCGGCUAACUACGUGCCAGCAGCCGAGGUAAUACGUAGGGGGCAAGCGUUAUCCGGAUUUACUGGGUGUAAAGGGAGCGUAGACGGGGAUGCAAGCCAGAUGUGAAAGCCCGGGGCUCAACCCCGGGACUGCAUUUGGAACUGUGUGGCUGGAGUGUCGGAGAGGCAGGAGGAAUGCCUAGUGUAGCGGUGAAAUGCUUAGAUAUUAGGAGGAACACCAGUGGCGAAGGCGGCCUGCUGGACGAUGACUGACGUUGAGGCUCGAAAGCGUGGGGAGCAAACAGGAUUAGAUACCCCAGUAGUC